Molecule: ribosomal RNA, 1041 nt
Filed under: uncultured bacterium
Lineage: Bacteria
Description: bacterial SSU rRNA
Rfam family: Bacterial small subunit ribosomal RNA
Source: RNAcentral
AGAGUUUGAUCCUGGCUCAGGGUGAACGCUGGCGGCGCGCUUAAUGCAUGCAAGUCGAGCGUGAUCGUGGCUUCGGCCACAAUGAUAAAGCGGCAGACGGCUGAGUAACGCGUGAGUAAUCUGCCCUCCGGUGGGGUAUAACCUCGGGAAACUGAGGAUAAUCCCGCAUACGACCUGCAUCCCUUGGGGUGCAGAUGAAAGGCUUCGGUCGCCGGAGGAGGAGCUCGCGUCCUAUCAGGUUGUUGGUGGGGUAAUGGCCUACCAAGCCGAUGACGGGUAGCUGGUCUGAGAGGAUGACCAGCCAGAGGGGGACUGAGAACGGCCCCCACUCCUACGGGAGGCAGCAGCAGGGAAUCUUGGGCAAUGGGCGAAAGCCUGACCCAGCGACGUCGCGUGGGGGACGAAGGCCUUCGGGUUGUAAACCCCUUUUCCGAGGGAAGAAACUGACGGUACCCCGAGAAGAAGCCCCGGCCAACUACGUGCCAGCAGCCGCGGUAAUACGUAGGGAGCGAGCGUUGUUCGGAUUUACUGGGCGUAAAGGGCAUGUAGGCGGGUAUGCAAGUCGGUUGUGAAAUCCUCUGGCUCAACCAGAGAACUGCAGCCGAAACUGCACACCUUGAGUCCAGCAGAGGGAAUCGGAAUCCCAGGUGUAGCGGUGAAAUGCGUAGAUAUCUGGGAGAACAUCAGUGGCGAAGGCGGAUUCCUGGGCUGGUACUGACGCUGAGGUGCGAAAGCUAAGGGAGCGAACAGGAUUAGAUACCCUGGUAGUCUUAGCCGUAAACGAUGGGUACUAGGUGUUGGGGGACAUUGACCCCCUCAGUGCCGUAGCUAACGCAUUAAGUACCCCGCCUGGGGAGUACGGCCGCAAGGCUGAAACUCAAAGGAAUUGACGGGGACCCGCACAAGCAGUGGAGCAUGUUGCUUAAUUCGAUGCAACGCGAAGAACCUUACCAGGGCUUGACAUCCGAGGAACUUCUUGGAAACAGGAGGGUGCCUUCGGGAACCUCGAGACAGGUGCUGCAUGGCUGUCGUCAGCUCGUG